AUGAAUCAUCGGCGGUGGAAAGAGGCCAUGCACGACCCAAGUUUUACCAAAGAGGCGUUCAAUGCCCUCAACUCUGCGGAUGCAUAUAUUCGAGCUGCUCAGGAUGGACUUGCCAGAGCCACUCACCAGCUUCCAAAGGAUAUGCAGGCACUCAUGGCAAAAAAUAACACGUUGUCCAAGGAGCUUGAAGAAUGUUGGACCAAGCUAACUGUUGUCACCGCCGAACGGGAAAAUUUGAAGAAAUUCAAGAAGGCACCGGAUGCAGCAGGAUCGGCGAAUCAGUUGGAGGAGAGGCUAAAGGCUGCUGAGGUGGACAAAUAG
Molecule: ribosomal RNA, 321 nt
Filed under: Triticum aestivum (bread wheat)
Lineage: Eukaryota; Viridiplantae; Streptophyta; Magnoliopsida; Poales; Poaceae
Description: partial small subunit ribosomal RNA
Source: RNAcentral